Molecule: ribosomal RNA, 423 nt
Filed under: uncultured fungus
Lineage: Eukaryota; Fungi
Description: eukaryotic LSU rRNA
Rfam family: 5.8S ribosomal RNA (bases 38-191)
Source: RNAcentral
UAUAAUGUUUUUCUGAGUAAACAAGCAAAUAAAUUAAAACUUUCAACAACGGAUCUCUUGGCUCUGGCAUCGAUGAAGAACGCAGCGAAAUGCGAUAAGUAAUGUGAAUUGCAGAAUUCAGUGAAUCAUCGAAUCUUUGAACGCACAUUGCGCCCGCCAGUAUUCUGGCGGGCAUGCCUGUUCGAGCGUCAUUACAACCCUCAGGCCCCCGGGCCUGGCGUUGGGGAUCGGCGGAAGCCCCCUGUGGGCACACGCCGUCCCUCAAAUACAGUGGCGGUCCCGCCGCAGCUUCCAUUGCGUAGUAGCUAACACCUCGCAACUGGAGAGCGGCGCGGCCAUGCCGUAAAACACCCAACUUCUGAAUGUUGACCUCGAAUCAGGUAGGAAUACCCGCUGAACUUAAGCAUAUCAAUAAGCGGAGGA